CAGUAGCCGCGGUAAUACGAAGGGGGCUAGCGUUGCUCGGAAUCACUGGGCGUAAAGGGUGCGUAGGCGGGUCUUUAAGUCAGGGGUGAAAUCCUGGAGCUCAACUCCAGAACUGCCUUUGAUACUGAAGAUCUUGAGUUCGGGAGAGGUGAGUGGAACUGCGAGUGUAGAGGUGAAAUUCGUAGAUAUUCGCAAGAACACCAGUGGCGAAGGCGGCUCACUGGCCCGAUACUGACGCUGAGGCACGAAAGCGUGGGGAGCGAACAGGAUUAGAUACCCCAGUAGUCCCUGUCUCUUAUAC
This 301-nucleotide ribosomal RNA is filed under the name uncultured bacterium. RNAcentral describes it as "partial 16S ribosomal RNA". It matches the Rfam family "Bacterial small subunit ribosomal RNA", at positions 509 to 807 of the family's 1533-position model. The record is from RNAcentral.